Long non-coding RNA from Nematolebias whitei (Rio pearlfish), 452 nucleotides. RefSeq lists it as uncharacterized. NCBI's taxonomy places the organism in Eukaryota, Metazoa, Chordata, Actinopteri, Cyprinodontiformes, Rivulidae. The record is from RefSeq and is a predicted model, not a curated record. The transcript is spliced from 3 exons.
UCCAACCCCUCCCAUCUGACAGAACUGAACCUGGGUGACAACAAUCUGCAGGAUUCAGGAGUGAAGCAGCUGUGUGGUUUUCUGGAGAGUCCACGAAGUAGACUGGAGACUCUGAGAUUGAGUUGGUGCAGUUUGUCAGAGAUCAGCUGUUCUUCUCUGAGCUCAGCUCUGAAGUCCAACCCCUCCCAUCUGAGACAACUGGACCUGAGAGACAACAACCUUCAGCAUCCAGAUGUUCAGCAGCUGUUGGAUCUUGUGGAGAGUCCAGACUACAGACUGCAGACUCUGAGAUGGAGGUGGUGACGUUUGUUGUGGAGAGCUGAACAUGAUGGUGUGUUUGUGGGAGAAGAUGAGCUGUGUCCUGAUGAUCCACAGAGGUUGAAGCAGCAGCAGCUUGUAUGCAGACACUCUGACUGGACUGUUUCUGCUUCUUCUGUUUCCUCAUCCACACU